CAAUAUUUCUCUGAAUUUCUUCCAGAUUUUUUUCCCCCCAAGCUUUGCUUCUUUAUUUGUGAGCAGGUAAGGAGUGCAUAGAUACAUUUGUGGUCCUCAGGUUGUAUGUUAAUAUUCUUUAACCAUCCUAAAGUUCACCAAUUUCAUGCUGUAUUAUCCCAGAGCAGCCUCUUGUUAAGCAAGUUUCAGGAUUUUAUGGCUUUCCUGCUCAUGGUAUUUUUUUUAAGAGGCAUUAAAAAGUUUUUUUUCUGUUCUCUAGCACUGCCCUGGAGAACUGACAUUCCCACCAGGAGCAAUCUUUCAGCAGGAAACAUUUGGGCACAUCUUUUGUGCCCCUCAGCUUUUCUAGGUAGGAGAGCGAUGGAGGAAUCAAGUCCGUGGGCAGGUCCACACCUUUGCAGUCACACUAAAAGGAUGAACUGGAAGCACAAAAAGAGAAAUAAAGACAGUGUAAGAAAUGUUGUCUGACAGGGAAAUUCCUGUCCCAUGAACAUGGAGUUAUGUAAAAGAAACCCCAAACUAAGCCUUAUUUCAGUACAAUAAAAUCAGCCAUGUGGUCA
This 560-nucleotide long non-coding RNA is filed under the name Serinus canaria (Common canary). RNAcentral describes it as "lncRNA (ENSSCAG00000010483.1)". Lineage: Eukaryota; Metazoa; Chordata; Aves; Passeriformes; Fringillidae. The record is from RNAcentral.